UUGACAGUUUGGCUUCCCUGUUCUGGGUGGCAAAGCCUGUGGAGUACUCACCUACCUGCUGCAUGAAGGCAGCAUGGAGGGACUGUGGUGGAUUAUCUGCAAAGAUGGCCAAAAUUCUCUCAUCCCUGCAGGCACAUACAAGGUUGUUGCAUGGCAUAAGUAAAGUGACAGUUAUAGGAUACAUGCAACUUUUCAGUGACAAAGAUCUGUGCAGCAUCGACAGUACUGCCUAAUGAGGUUUCACCAUAAUGAAGUAUCACAACCAGUUUACAGACCAGAAAACUGAGACACAGGAAGGGGUGGUGACUUGAGCAAGGUGCAUCAGCUGAAAAGUUGCUAAAACUGCUGUGAGAUUCUGGCUAAGAAAGUUUCAUGAGAAGUUUUACAGAAAAAUGUGAACGGAAGACAGAACUAGAUAUAAAUUUGAAUGUUUUGAGAAGAAUGCGAAGAAGAAAGGAAGAGUGAGCCUCUCUUUCCCAUCGUUACCCUCCAUUGUCCUCUUGACACCCUGCUUUCACAGAGAAAGAGUUUGAGACCCUCUCCCAGGAGCCAAGGAGAGGGGAACAGCUGGCUUCACAUCAUCUUUCUAUUCAACAAGAUACAAAAAGCUGAAGCCAGGAUGAUAGAAAAGCAACAAAGAAGACACGGUCCUUACUCAUUUCCCUUCCCACUUCAGAGCAAAU
Molecule: long non-coding RNA, 683 nt
Filed under: Homo sapiens (human)
Lineage: Eukaryota; Metazoa; Chordata; Mammalia; Primates; Hominidae
Description: long intergenic non-protein coding RNA 3156
Source: RNAcentral